RNAcentral lists this ribosomal RNA (513 nucleotides) under Merluccius capensis (shallow-water Cape hake). RNAcentral's name for it is "partial 16S ribosomal RNA". It matches the Rfam family "Bacterial large subunit ribosomal RNA", at positions 1854 to 2567 of the family's 2925-position model. The record is from RNAcentral. Lineage: Eukaryota; Metazoa; Chordata; Actinopteri; Gadiformes; Merlucciidae.
CCGCCUGCCCUGUGACUAUAUGUUUAACGGCCGCGGUAUCUUAACCGUGCGAAGGUAGCGUAAUCACUUGUCUUUUAAAUGAAGACCUGUAUGAAUGGCAUCACGAGGGCUUAACUGUCUCCCCUCUCCAGUCAAUGAAAUUGACCUCCCCGUGCAGAGGCGGGGAUAUCUUUAUAAGACGAGAAGACCCUGUGGAGCUUUAGACCUAAAAUAAACCACGUUUAAGAUACUAAAAUUAAUAGCAAAAACUUAGUGGAUAAUUAUUAAAGUGUCUUUGGUUGGGGCGACCGCGGAGUAAAACACAACCUCCAUGUGGACGGGGAUACUAUCCCUAAAACUCAGAGCCUCCACUCCAAGCAACAGAAAUUCUGACCUAACUGAUCCGGUAUAACCGAUUAACGAACCCAGUUACCCCAGGGAUAACAGCGCAAUCCCCUCUCAGAGCUCAUAUCGACGAGGGGGUUUACGACCUCGAUGUUGGAUCAGGACAUCCUAGUGGUGCAGCCGCUAUUA